UCCGGUUUGUCACCGGCAGUCUCAUUAGAGUGCCCAACUGAAUGUAGCAACUAAUGACAAGGGUUGCGCUCGUUGCGGGACUUAACCCAACAUCUCACGACAUGAGCUGACGACAGCCAUGCAGCACCUGUGUUCCGGUUCCCUUUCGGGCACAGCCUGAUCUCUCAAGCCUUCCGGACAUGUCAGGGGUAGGUAAGGUUUUUCGCGUUGCAUCGAAUUAAUCCACAUAAUCCACCGCUUGUGCGGGUCCCCGUCAAUUCCUUUGAGUUUUAACCUUGCGGCCGUACUCCCCAGGCGGAUAACUUAAUGCGUUAGCUGCGCCACCAAAACCCUAAGGGCCCUGACAGCUAGUUAUCAUCGUUUACGGCGUGGACUAC
RNAcentral lists this unclassified non-coding RNA (377 nucleotides) under uncultured Pseudomonadota bacterium. RNAcentral's name for it is "uncultured proteobacterium contains 16S-23S intergenic spacer region". The record is from RNAcentral. Lineage: Bacteria; Pseudomonadati; Pseudomonadota.